GACGAACGCUGGCGGCGUGCUUAACACAUGCAAGUCGAACGGAAAGGCCCUGCUUUUGUGGGGUGCUCGAGUGGCGAACGGGUGAGUAACACGUGAGUAACCUGCCCUUGACUUUGGGAUAACUUCAGGAAACUGGGGCUAAUACCGGAUAGGAGCUCCUGCUGCAUGGUGGGGGUCGGAAAGUUUCGGCGGUUGGGGAUGGACUCGCGGCUUAUCAGCUUGUUGGUGGGGUAGUGGCUUACCAAGGCUUUGACGGGUAGCCGGCCUGAGAGGGUGACCGGCCACAUUGGGACUGAGAUACGGCCCAGACUCCUACGGGAGGCAGCAGUGGGGAAUAUUGCACAAUGGGCGGAAGCCUGAUGCAGCAACGCCGCGUGCGGGAUGACGGCCUUCGGGUUGUAAACCGCUUUCGCCUGUGACGAAGCGUGAGUGACGGUAAUGGGUAAAGAAGCACCGACUAACUACGUG
RNAcentral lists this ribosomal RNA (468 nucleotides) under uncultured bacterium. RNAcentral's name for it is "partial 16S ribosomal RNA". It matches the Rfam family "Bacterial small subunit ribosomal RNA", at positions 28 to 507 of the family's 1533-position model. The record is from RNAcentral.